Molecule: non-coding RNA, 539 nt
Organism: Osmia lignaria (orchard mason bee)
Lineage: Eukaryota; Metazoa; Arthropoda; Insecta; Hymenoptera; Megachilidae
Source: RefSeq, a predicted model, not a curated record
CAAGUCCAUAACCCUUUGAAAAGUGGCUGGAGCAUUCUUAAGGCCAAAGGGCAUCCUAUUAAAUUCAUAGUGACCGUGGGGAGUGGAGAAAGCCGUUUUAGAUUUCAAUGCAGGGUCUGCAGUGAUAUAUGGAAGAGGAUAUGCAUCGGCCACAGUUUUCUCGUUCAAUUUUCGAUAAUCGAUAACCAUCCUCCAGCGUGGUUUACCAGAAGACCCAGGUUUUUUUCGGAACUACCCAAACAGGUGAAUUAUAAAGGGACACCGAGGGUUGAAUAAUUUUGUCCUUAAGCAAGGAAUCUACUUGCGUUUCUAUUUCAUUUUUAUGGACUGGGAGAUGAAAUUGAUACGAAAAUUCGUUAACGAUUUCUAGAAUGCUGGCCUUUUCCCUCUCCUGAAGAUGACUUAAAUCCAAAUAUUUUCGUAAUUCACUAAAUCUCCGAGCCUGAUCUGCCGAUUUAUUUACACUUGGAUUCCCUGUUCGAGACGAACGAGAUGCAGGAGGUAUCAAUUCGAAUUCCUCUAAUUCAAUCUGUGGUAUC